AACGAACGCUGGCGGCAUGCCUAACACAUGCAAGUCGAACGAGACCUUCGGGUCUAGUGGCGCACGGGUGCGUAACGCGUGGGAACCUGCCCUUAGGUUCGGAAUAACUCCCCGAAAGGGGUGCUAAUACCGGAUAAUGUCUUCGGACCAAAGAUUUAUCGCCUUUGGAUGGGCCCGCGUUGGAUUAGCUAGUUGGUAGGGUAAAAGCCUAUCAAGGCGACGAUCCAUAGCUGGUCUGAGAGGAUGAUCAGCCACACUGGGACUGAGACACGGCCCAGACUCCUACGGGAGGCAGCAGUGGGGAAUUUUGGACAAUGGGCGAAAGCCUGAUCCAGCAAUGCCGCGUGAGUGAUGAAGGCCUUAGGGUUGUAAAGCUCUUUUACCCGGGAUGAUAAUGACAGUACCGGGAGAAUAAGCUCCGGCUAACUCCGUG
RNAcentral lists this ribosomal RNA (433 nucleotides) under uncultured bacterium. RNAcentral's name for it is "partial 16S ribosomal RNA". It matches the Rfam family "Bacterial small subunit ribosomal RNA", at positions 29 to 507 of the family's 1533-position model. The record is from RNAcentral.